CCUACGGGAGGCAGCAGUGAGGAAUAUUGGUCAAUGGACGAGAGUCUGAACCAGCCAAGUAGCGUGAAGGAUGACUGCCCUAUGGGUUGUAAACUUCUUUUAUAUGGGAAUAAAAUGUUCCACGUGUGGGAUUUUGUAUGUACCAUAUGAAUAAGGAUCGGCUAACUCCGUGCCAGCAGCCGCGGUAAUACGGAGGAUCCGAGCGUUAUCCGGAUUUAUUGGGUUUAAAGGGAGCGUAGGUGGAUUGUUAAGUCAGUUGUGAAAGUUUGCGGCUCAACCGUAAAAUUGCAGUUGAAACUGGCAGUCUUGAGUACAGUAGAGGUGGGCGGAAUUCGUGGUGUAGCGGUGAAAUGCUUAGAUAUCACGAAGAACUCCGAUUGCGAAGGCAGUUCACUGGACUGUAACUGACAUUGAUGCUCGAAAGUGUGGGUAUCAAACAGGAUUAGAUACCCCUGUAGUC
This 460-nucleotide ribosomal RNA is filed under the name uncultured bacterium. RNAcentral describes it as "partial 16S ribosomal RNA". It matches the Rfam family "Bacterial small subunit ribosomal RNA", at positions 338 to 795 of the family's 1533-position model. The record is from RNAcentral.